This 379-nucleotide ribosomal RNA is filed under the name uncultured cyanobacterium. Its description in RNAcentral is "bacterial SSU rRNA". It matches the Rfam family "Bacterial small subunit ribosomal RNA", at positions 376 to 770 of the family's 1533-position model. The record is from RNAcentral. Lineage: Bacteria; Bacillati; Cyanobacteriota.
CGAAAGCCUGACGGAGCAAGACCGCGUGAGGGAGGAAGGCUCUUGGGUUGUAAACCUCUUUUCUCAGGGAAGAAGCUCUGACGGUACCUGAGGAAUCAGCCUCGGCUAACUCCGUGCCAGCAGCCGCGGUAAUACGGAGGAGGCAAGCGUUAUCCGGAAUUAUUGGGCGUAAAGCGUCCGUAGGUGGUUAUUCAAGUCUGCUGUCAAAGCGUGGGGCUUAACUCCAUAGAGGCAGUGGAAACUGAGUGACUAGAGUGCGGUAGGGGUCGAGGGAAUUCCCAGUGUAGCGGUGAAAUGCGUAGAUAUUGGGAAGAACACCAGUGGCGAAAGCGCUCGACUGGGCCUGCACUGACACUGAGGGACGAAAGCUAGGGGAGCG